This 657-nucleotide long non-coding RNA is filed under the name Vigna radiata. RNAcentral describes it as "long non-coding RNA (VRAD_LNC008330)". The record is from RNAcentral. Lineage: Eukaryota; Viridiplantae; Streptophyta; Magnoliopsida; Fabales; Fabaceae.
GAGAAGUAGACAAGGACCCAAGUUCCAUUUUGGGUCGGAAGAACUAGAAAACUCAAAAGAUCGCCACUCUUUUAGUGAGGAAACUAGCAAAGGGAGAAUGUUGCACUAUGUUACCCAAGGAGUGGAUCAAAACUGCACUAAAACACAACACAAAAAAGGCCAAUUUUAAUCAGUUGAACGACAAGAUAAUCGAUAAAAAAACUAAGGAAAGUUUAAACGGUAAUGAAGAGAGAAAAAGGAGAGGACGAAGACAAUGACGUUAUGAGAAAAUACAAUGCAAUGCCGGAAGAGAUAAAAAGAAGAGGUGCGCAAGGGAGUAAAAGAAGAGGAGAAGUAGAGAAAAAGGAGAAGAGAUGAAGACGCGAUCAGAAACUGAGUGGUUAGAAGGGUCUGUGGUUUAUUUAAAAUGAAAUUGGGCGUUGGUUGCGCCAGAAACCGACGUCUAUAGACAUCAGUGUUUGAUCGGGAUCCGACGUCUAUUCUUCUUAAAGAAGCUGAAAAGAUUGACGUUUGAUUUCCUGUCAGGGUAGUUCACGUCGGUGCCCCUCCUAGCCGACGUCUAAAACCCUCGAAUUUGGUGAAAAUAAUCAAUUACAGGAACGUAGACGUCACUUACGUUCAAAACCGACGUCUAAAUUGAAGGAUUUUUGUCUUCCC